RNAcentral lists this ribosomal RNA (190 nucleotides) under Escherichia coli. Its description in RNAcentral is "partial 16S ribosomal RNA". It matches the Rfam family "Bacterial small subunit ribosomal RNA", at positions 1 to 184 of the family's 1533-position model. The record is from RNAcentral. Lineage: Bacteria; Pseudomonadati; Pseudomonadota; Gammaproteobacteria; Enterobacterales; Enterobacteriaceae. RNAcentral also lists the same sequence under 1 other name.
AAAUUGAAGAGUUUGAUCAUGGCUCAGAUUGAACGCUGGCGGCAGGCCUAACACAUGCAAGUCGAACGGUAACAGGAAACAGCUUGCUGUUUCGCUGACGAGUGGCGGACGGGUGAGUAAUGUCUGGGAAACUGCCUGAUGGAGGGGGAUAACUACUGGAAACGGUAGCUAAUACCGCAUAAUGUCGCAA